This 493-nucleotide ribosomal RNA is filed under the name uncultured bacterium. Its description in RNAcentral is "bacterial SSU rRNA". It matches the Rfam family "Bacterial small subunit ribosomal RNA", at positions 27 to 518 of the family's 1533-position model. The record is from RNAcentral.
GGACGAACGCUGGCGGCGUGCCUAACACAUGCAAGUCGACGAAGCUCCGGAACGGAGUCUUCGGAUGAAGCGAAGGAAGACUUAGUGGCGGACGGGUGAGUAACGCGUGAGCAACCUGCCUUUCAGAGGGGGAUAACAGUUGGAAACGACUGCUAAUACCGCAUAAUAUAUUGUUGUCGCAUGGCAAUGAUAUCAAAGCUGAGGCGCUGGAAGAUGGGCUCGCGUCCGAUUAGAUAGUUGGUGGGGUAACGGCCUACCAAGUCGACGAUCGGUAGCCGGGACUGAGAGGUUGAACGGCCACAUUGGGACUGAGACACGGCCCAGACUCCUACGGGAGGCAGCAGUGGGGGAUAUUGCACAAUGGGCGAAAGCCUGAUGCAGCAACGCCGCGUGAGGGAAGACGGUUUUCGGAUUGUAAACCUCUGUCUUUGGUGAAGAAGGAAGUGACGGUAACCAAGGAGGAAGCCACGGCUAACUACGUGCCAGCAGCUGC